CAUAGUCUACUUAAAUUCCUGGGGGAUGAAUCACAGGUGUUCCCAUGAUUUUUGCAAACAAAAGACUCCUCUGGAACAGGGAUCUAUUUUCUGAGCCGUCACAACAAGCGAAUCCCACAGGAUUUAUUAUGCCUGAGUUUACCGUGUGAGCAAUGAGAUGCUUCCCGUUGGCCUCUGACACACCACCAUGAGCUCUCCCAGGAGACCAAGACAUCGUUGUCUUUGUUUAGGUGAAAUACUACAGUCAUUUAGGCACCCUUAAAAAUAUGCCUGGCUCCUUAGAGUCACUGGGCUUCUUAGUGAUUUUUAUCUUAGAAUUUCAGCCUAUUUCCUCGGGAAGUGCUAUUAGCAGCACAGGAUGCAGAACUUGAUCUAGCUAAUGAGCAGACCAUGACACUGGGCAUUUUAAGCCCAAGCUGUGCCUCAAAUGAUCGCUUAAAUCAAGAGAACAAACAGAUCCCUGUUACCCGCGUUGGAAGGAAGGGCGCUCUUCUCCUGCAGAGCUGUUGACAAUGUGAUCCAUGGAACAAUUUCUUGGAAAGAUCGUCCCUUUUCCUGUUGAAUGUUCUGGGAUCGCGAAUUGAAAACCGCGUGCCGCACACGCCGGAGGUUUAUUUCUGUGCGUUCCAUCACAUUUUAUGGCUCUGUACAUCCCUCUUGACGGCUCUCCUACGCUGAUGGGUGCUGAUAGCUUCCACGUGAUCUUGUCUCACCGGAGAAUGGUCCAGACCUCUAACUUCUUUGGCGGCUCACAUGGCGACUGUUCUCGCAGGCCCUCUCUGCCUGCCUUUCCCAGAAUUCUCCUUGUCUCCUAGUCCUGCCUGUCUUCCUGCCUCAUUGGCUGAACAGUGUUUCGUUCAUUAAUCAAUAAGAGAAGCAUAUAUACAGAAGGACAACCCCCAUCAGAUGGGAUUACUCUUAUUUUUUGCAGUAUAAGUAUUGAAAUCAAGAAAGGGAUUUUUGUUGUUUUCAACAUACAGGCGUUAUUCUACUUGGGAGGACGCUAUCUCCCAAGAUGGGAUUAAGCAAGGCACUACUGACCUGCAGAUGGAGACGUCACGGAGACAAUGCUGGGGAACACAAAUAAACAUGAACACAAAGGAAAACAUUGCUGCUUAACUUCCCACACCGGGUCUGAGAGGCGUGGAAAAUGGAAUUUAUCUUGGGAAUGCAGACUCGGGUGUUUGACUAAGACUGCCUGAAAAGCUGACAGUUUAAAAUACAUUUCUUGGUGUUCGAGGCAUCCACAUCCACAUGGACACACUUGCCCCUGAUGUCCUCCAGAAGACUUGCUUGCUUAAGCCUACUUUUAUCCCUUCACUUAUUUGUAUGGCUUCUGCGUGCUGCGGUUGUGUUAAUAGAUUGCCAGCUUAAUUGUGAAUUCCAUCUAGAAGCUUUGGAUCUCAAAUUAGGUUUUUUUUUUUUUAAGAAGUCAAAAGUUGGUCUACAAGGAAAAUUACAGAUGCCUUCUCUGACUUUGGCCCCAUGAGGCUGUCCAGGGCUGGUUGGUUUCAGCAUUAAUUUGAUUAGUUAGUAAUUAGAGUAAACAUUAUCUACCUACUGAUAGAGACUUUGGAUGUUUUAAGUAUUCACACACGCACACACAUACACACACACACACACAUUUAAACUAGACUUGAUAGAUUAUUCACUGAUUUCUAAAGAACUGCUCAACACAGCCUUCCCAGAUAGUCAUAUGGAGAACAAGACCAUGGAGUUAGUUCAUGCACAAUCAAGGAAUUCUCUUCGAGGAAUGUGGAAGCUGAAAUCCUGGAAGGAUGUCAACAGGGGCGUAGGGCAGUCAAGAAAGAGAAUGUUAAUUACAAGUCCAAUUAAACUCUAAAGAAUAAUAAGUCAAGAAGUUGGUCAGGCUGGUUGGACUAAGUGAUACAGGAUCCAAGGCCUCGAAGUAAGGGUCUGAAAGAGAUGACAGGAAACAAAGCCAUCUCGAGAAGUUUUCCUGGGAAGUUUGAGACACUGCCCUGGCAACAUCUCGUGCAGGUUGGUGACACCAGUGACAGAGCUCUCCUUCUAUUAGUGUCGUCCAGACUGGAUGGGUUCCUGUCAUUUGAUGAGAAGGAGGGACAGCUGUUGCAAGCCAGUGUUGCUUUUCUAGCCUGUUAGCUGAAAGAUCUGUGCAGACGUUCAUGCUGGCAAGAAUGAGAAGAUUCACAUACAGAUUCACACACACCAUCUGCAGAGAGCACCUGAAGCUUUGAGAUAACGCUUCUCCUACAUCCAGCCCUCGAACUGUGGAAAUCUCUCAUUGGUAGAGAUGCUAGAAAUACGAAUCUUCUUCAGACAGCACAUGAGGAGAGUAAACAGCCUAAUCAAAGCUCCAAGUCACUCAUCCUUCCUCGGCAGCGACAGGUACCCACGCACCUUCAGGGAGGAGGCGAGUGUCCCUGGAACCCAAGAUUAAGUGUGGGAUACAGGAAAGUGCUUGUGACGUGGAUGUGUUGUGCGGUAAAAUCAAAGGCACUGACAGAGUAAAGCGUGUGCCAAGUUUGCCCAUGGUAGCGUAAACUUGCCUUAGCUGUUUCCUGAAGAUAGGAGCUGGAAUUCUCCUGGGUAAAGCUGACUGAGCUCACACAUUUCACCCUUGGCCUACUUUGUUUAUCUCCAGACCAAUGAAGCAUUCUGUCUAGACCGUACAGUAUUUGCAAUGGCUCCUGUUGCUUCUUUCCCAAGCAUCUGGUUUUUCUCAGUCCCCCGUGUGACUCACCCUGCAUGGCCUUGUGUUAGGAUCCAAGAACUUCUGUGGAAUGUCCCAUCCUGUGCGCGGGUCACUGAAGACAUCUGUGGAAGCCUGGGGCCUGCCCUCCAAGGUGGCUUAUAAAACAAUACAAAGGAACAUAUUUGUGUGUGUGUGUGUGUGUGUGUGUGUGUGUGUGUGUGUAUAAAGAAUUUGAAAUAUUUGCCUGUGACUCUUUGCUAGACUUCAGAACAGCCAGAAUGCACCUGCCCUAGAGGUCUUCCGGGGAAUGGCUUACAGUGAGAACAUAAAGGUCCUAGAAGAGAUAUCAGCCAUCAUAUUUGCAGUUCCCUAUUGUUAGUGCCUCUUAUGUCACAGCAUGUGAUACUUUUGUUUUUCCUUGUUUUCUAAAAUCCCCACCAGUGAACAAAUCUUCAUUGAGAUUCGUUAAAUAUCAGCAACCGUGUUGUGCUAACUGCCUCACUGAGGUAGAACGCCCUGGUGUGUGUGUGUGUGUGUGUGUGUGUGUGUGUGUGUGUGUGUGUGUGUGUGUCCUGGGAAUGAUCAAGCUUUUGUCUUGCACACACUAGGAGAGAAUCCACUAAAGAACAAACACCAAGUCGUGGUUAUGAAGCAAGAAAAGGCUUUAUACAAGUAAGAAAGAUACUUGCGGCUCCCAAGGGAUCUAACAAAAGCACCCCAUGUAAGGGAACAUCAAGCAACAGGGGAUGGUGUGUCCCUAGACAUAAAUUGUAUGUGGCAGACACACUCUGUGGAGUCUAAAAAGAGAGCAUUGUUGGCAACUGGAGUUUGGAUGCUUUAGAAACAGCUUUGUGCUGGGCUUUGUAGGAGGGGCAGAAAUUGAAUGUCGAGUGCACAGUGAAGGCUCUUUAGGCCUUGUGCUACUUCAAACUUUCAAACUAGCUGCCAGUAGGCAGUUAAUAAUAACCUCCACAAUUCCACAAGAGAUAACCAGCAGCCUCAGGAGAUUAUGAGCCCAGAAACAGUGUGGUCCACUUUACUCUCUUAGGGACCAACCACCCAAACUCACCGUUCACCACGAUAGAGGCAUGGCGACACUCCGAGUCAGAGGGAAGCUCAUGUAGGUACUGAUGUGCUUAAUCUGAACUAUAAGAUGCACCCUUGUUAUUCACGAGGACAUUGCCAGACGGCAGACAGUGGCCCUAACCUCCUACACCUGGAUAAGUGAUAACCUGAGCCUACCUCACUGAAAACACCAGGAUAUGGAUUGGGCAGGAAGAGGCAUUAUGUAAAUAAGGAAGCUAUGGUUUCAAUGCCGCCAGUUAGACCCUUUCCAGAAACAGAUAGGAAGAAAUAAAGGAACUUGGAACUCUACUGUGGGAAACAGGGAGCGGACAGACUGCAGCAGGGUUUGCAGUAAGAGAAGAGCCAGAUAUGCUGAUGACAAGUGAACAUUUUGUCACUCACAAAAAAGCCUCAUUAUCAUUUGUCCUUUGGCUACACUAGAAAAAAUACUCAUGAAAGUGACAGCAAUUGAAUUAUUAGGACUUUUUAAUAUCCUUAUUUCACAGAAGAGGGAAUAUUGUUCUGUUAUAAAUGAAUACAAUGUUCGCUGGGUGAAAAUUGCAAAAUGUAUCUCCAACAUUUA
Molecule: long non-coding RNA, 4325 nt
Organism: Mesocricetus auratus (golden hamster)
Lineage: Eukaryota; Metazoa; Chordata; Mammalia; Rodentia; Cricetidae
Exons: 6
Source: RefSeq, a predicted model, not a curated record